CUGAGUUGGUUGGUUAUGAAGCCUUUGCACUUCAGUCUGAAAUUACAACACUGAAGAGUAAUCCUCGCAAUAUAUUCAGUGUAUGCUGUGGACACAGCAUAUUUUUCAGCACACUCAGCUGGAAUCAUCAGAGAUAGAGCAGUUGUUCAAAAAGUCUCAAGAGUUAAAAACAACAACAACAAUACAAAGAGAUGAGACCUGGUCUGAGGAACUUUGAGGAAGAAGGAAGAAUUGCCAACCUCACAGAAAGGCUUUGUUUGGUAACUGCCUCAGUCAGUUUGAGCCAGAGGAGCCUUGACUUUUAAUCAACCCAGAGAAGGGAAGGUCAGAGCACCUCCAUAAAGAGGAAAAAGCAGUUUUACAUGGAAUUAUCAUUAGGACUUUGUUUCAAAAUCAGUUAUAAAAAGGAUAUGUGGAUGAAAAUGAAACAUGCUCUAAAUUUAAAAAUAUAUGCACCCAAAAAAUCUUGAAAAAGAACAAAAUUGAAAGACUCCUGCCUUCUGGUUUCAAAACUAACCAUAAAGCAACAAUAAUCAAGAUAUUAUGGUACUGGUAUACGGAACAGACAUAUAAGUCAGUGGAGAUAAUCCAGACAGCCACAUGUGAAAGAAUGAAGUUGGAUCCAAACCUCACAGCAGAUACAAAAAUUACCCAAAAUGGAUCAAAGGCCAAGUGUAAAAGGUAGAAUUAUAAAACUUUUGGAAGAUACCGUAGGAGUAAAUCUUUGUGAUCUUGUAUUUCAUAAUCGUUUUCUUAGAUAUGACACUGAAAGCACAAGCAGCAAAAGAAGAAACAGACAAAUUAGACUUUAUAAAAAUGAAUAACCUUUUUAUUUCACAGGAUACUAUCAAGAAAUUGAAGGGACAGCCCCGACAAGGAACUUGUAUCUAGAAUAUGUAAAGAAUUUUUACAGCACAAUAAUAAAAAGACAACCCAAUUUGGAAAGAGGCUAAGGAUUGGAAUAAACAUUUCUCCAAGGAAGAUAUACAAGUGGUUACUGAGCACAUGAAAAGAUGCCUAACAGUAACUAUGAGGAAAAGACAAAUCAAAAGCACAGUGAGGAGGUGUUUGUCUGGCUCAGACAUUAGGGCAUGAGAUUCUUGACCUCGGGGUUGUGAAUGUGUGCCCCAUGCUGGGUGUAGAGAUUACUUAAAAAUAAAAUCUUUUUUUUUUUU
Long non-coding RNA from Neofelis nebulosa (Clouded leopard), 1175 nucleotides. RefSeq lists it as uncharacterized. The transcript is spliced from 2 exons. NCBI's taxonomy places the organism in Eukaryota, Metazoa, Chordata, Mammalia, Carnivora, Felidae. The record is from RefSeq and is a predicted model, not a curated record.